This 497-nucleotide ribosomal RNA is filed under the name uncultured bacterium. Its description in RNAcentral is "partial 16S ribosomal RNA". It matches the Rfam family "Bacterial small subunit ribosomal RNA", at positions 28 to 507 of the family's 1533-position model. The record is from RNAcentral.
GAUGAACGCUGGCGGCGUGCCUAAUACAUGCAAGUCGAGCGAACAGACGAGGAGCUUGCUCCUCUGACGUUAGCGGCGGACGGGUGAGUAACACGUGGAUAACCUACCUAUAAGACUGGGAUAACUUCGGGAAACCGGAGCUAAUACCGGAUAAUAUAUUGAACCGCAUGGUUCAAUAGUGAAAGACGGUUUUGCUGUCACGUAUAGAUGGAUCCGCGCCGCAUUAGCUAGUUGGUAAGGUAACGGCUUACCAAGGCAACGAUGCGUAGCCGACCUGAGAGGGUGAUCGCCCACACUGGAACUGCGACACGGUCCAGACUCCUACGGGAGGCAGCAGUAGGGAAUCUUCCGCAAUGGGCGAAAGCCUGACGGAGCAACGCCGCGUGAGUGAUGAAGGUCUUCGGAUCGUAAAACUCUGUUAUUAGGGAAGAACAAAUGUGUAAGUAACUCUGCACGUCUUGACGGUACCUAAUCAGAAAGCCACGGCUAACUACGUG